CAAAAAACAGUCCUGGGUUUCACUCAUUCUUGUGGGCUGUUUCAGGAACUCGAAUGACAAGCCCCGAUGUGUCGCAGUCCGUGUGUGCCGUGUGUUUGGGACGGGACCGAGUGGCACUGAAGGCGCGAGGAGAUGCUUGCAGCCAGGGGGCACUAGAGCCCUGGAAGAUGUUGUUGCGAAGUGCCGUGCCCCACCAUCCAGCUUCAUAAUUGCUGCCGCGGGGCUGAGGCGAAGCCGUGGGGAAACGCGCCGAGGUGCUGCUGCUCAUCUGGAGACAGACGCCUCCGUAAAGCCUCCGAAAUUUCCUGGCCUUUUGUUUCCGGCUUCAAAGGCGGAGGAAUCGGCCCAAAAAAUGUCAGCAUUAAUCUGCUCCAUUAGCACGAAGAAAAGCCACAUUUAACCUAAUCCUGGUGCCGAGGGUUCAGGUUCGGGACCCUCUCUGGGGUUUUAAUUACACUCGUGUUCAUCAUUAUCGUCUCCAGAACGUCUGUUUAUGAGACUCUGUUUACAGCCCACAUUAUAAUUUUAGGGUAAACAGACAAGCGGCUUGGCCGAGGCAAGUGCUGCAGUGAAUUGUCGUGACAACACCGGUCGUGGGAGGGGCUUAGUCGGCUUGCCCAGGUGAUGUAGGUGAUGGGUGUGUCCGUGAGAAGUUGUGGAUCUCAUGCCUCCUCUGGAUGUCGGGCGCGUCGCGCUCAGAACUCGCUUCCUCCAGGAAGGGCUGUGUUAGGAGACACUGAUGGGGACCCCUGCAGUCUCGAACGAGCGUCUCCAGAAAGCCUUUGGAAUAUCAACGCUGUUGAGAAUUUUUUCAGCAGGACUCUACAAAACACACUGAUUUUUAUUGGUUGCCGUCAGAGAGACACCCCGUGACCGGAGCGACGGAGGGAAGCCGCACUGGGGUGUCGUGGAAAGGAACACGUUUUGUUUGUGACUGUAAAGUCCCCUUUACCUGCUAAGCCACAAUCAAUAGAAGCUUCAUCGUACGGACGGCCCCUGACUGACUUAGUAGUUCGGGGGGUAAAAGUGUGGGAUAUAGCUAUAGUAAUUAAAAAGAAAUGGAACAGUGAGGAACAGCGGAC
This 1082-nucleotide long non-coding RNA is filed under the name Scleropages formosus (Asian bonytongue). RNAcentral describes it as "lncRNA (ENSSFOG00015029890.1)". Lineage: Eukaryota; Metazoa; Chordata; Actinopteri; Osteoglossiformes; Osteoglossidae. The record is from RNAcentral.